This 447-nucleotide ribosomal RNA is filed under the name uncultured bacterium. RNAcentral describes it as "partial 16S ribosomal RNA". It matches the Rfam family "Bacterial small subunit ribosomal RNA", at positions 338 to 795 of the family's 1533-position model. The record is from RNAcentral.
CCUACGGGAGGCAGCAGUGGGGAAUCUUGCGCAAUGGGCGGAAGCCUGACGCAGCGACGCCGCGUGCGGGACGAAGGUCUUCGGGUCGUAAACCGCUUUCAGCAGGGACGAGGCCCUCACGGUGACGGUACCUGCAGAAGAAGCGCCGGCAAACUACGGGCCGGCGGCCGCGCUAAUACGGAGGGGGCGAUCGUUAGCCGGAUUCAUUGGGGGUAAGGCGCGCGUAGGCGGCCUGUUAGGUCGGGGGUAAAAUCCCGGGGCUAAACCCCGGUCCGCCCCCGAUACCGGCAGGCUUGAGUGUGGUAGGGGAAGGCGGAAUUCCCGGUGUAGCGGUGGAAUGCGUAGAUAUUGGGAAGAACACCGGCGGCGAAGGCGGCCUUCUGGGCCACGACUGACGCUGAGGCGCGAAAGCUAGGGGAGCGAACAGGAUUAGAUACCCUGGUAGUC